This 1483-nucleotide ribosomal RNA is filed under the name metagenome. RNAcentral describes it as "bacterial SSU rRNA". It matches the Rfam family "Bacterial small subunit ribosomal RNA". The record is from RNAcentral.
AGAGUUUGAUCCUGGCUCAGGAUGAACGCUAGCGACAGGCUUAACACAUGCAAGUCGAGGGGCAGCACAGGUAGCAAUACCGGGUGGCGACCGGCGCACGGGUGAGUAACGCGUAUGCAACUUGCCUAUCAGAGGGGGAUAACCCGGCGAAAGUCGGACUAAUACCGCAUGAAGCAGGGAUCCCGCAUGGGAAUAUUUGCUAAAGAUUCAUCGCUGAUAGAUAGGCAUGCGUUCCAUUAGGCAGUUGGCGGGGUAACGGCCCACCAAACCGACGAUGGAUAGGGGUUCUGAGAGGAAGGUCCCCCACAUUGGUACUGAGACACGGACCAAACUCCUACGGGAGGCAGCAGUGAGGAAUAUUGGUCAAUGGCCGAGAGGCUGAACCAGCCAAGUCGCGUGAGGGAUGAAGGUUCUAUGGAUCGUAAACCUCUUUUAUAAGGGAAUAAAGUGCGGGACGUGUCCCGUUUUGUAUGUACCUUAUGAAUAAGGAUCGGCUAACUCCGUGCCAGCAGCCGCGGUAAUACGGAGGAUCCGAGCGUUAUCCGGAUUUAUUGGGUUUAAAGGGUGCGUAGGCGGCCUUUUAAGUCAGCGGUGAAAGUCUGUGGCUCAACCAUAGAAUUGCCGUUGAAACUGGGGGGCUUGAGUAUGUUUGAGGCAGGCGGAAUGCGUGGUGUAGCGGUGAAAUGCAUAGAUAUCACGCAGAACCCCGAUUGCGAAGGCAGCCUGCCAAGCCAUUACUGACGCUGAUGCACGAAAGCGUGGGGAUCAAACAGGAUUAGAUACCCUGGUAGUCCACGCAGUAAACGAUGAUCACUAGCUGUUUGCGAUACACUGUAAGCGGCACAGCGAAAGCGUUAAGUGAUCCACCUGGGGAGUACGCCGGCAACGGUGAAACUCAAAGGAAUUGACGGGGGCCCGCACAAGCGGAGGAACAUGUGGUUUAAUUCGAUGAUACGCGAGGAACCUUACCCGGGUUUGAACGCAUUCGGACCGAGGUGGAAACACCUUUUCUAGCAAUAGCCGUUUGCGAGGUGCUGCAUGGUUGUCGUCAGCUCGUGCCGUGAGGUGUCGGCUUAAGUGCCAUAACGAGCGCAACCCUUGCCACUAGUUACUAACAGGUAAAGCUGAGGACUCUGGUGGGACUGCCAGCGUAAGCUGCGAGGAAGGCGGGGAUGACGUCAAAUCAGCACGGCCCUUACAUCCGGGGCGACACACGUGUUACAAUGGCGUGGACAAAGGGAAGCCACCUGGCGACAGGGAGCGAAUCCCCAAACCACGUCUCAGUUCGGAUCGGAGUCUGCAACCCGACUCCGUGAAGCUGGAUUCGCUAGUAAUCGCGCAUCAGCCAUGGCGCGGUGAAUACGUUCCCGGGCCUUGUACACACCGCCCGUCAAGCCAUGGGAGCCGGGGGUACCUGAAGUCCGUAACCGCGAGGAUCGGCCUAGGGUAAAACUGGUGACUGGGGCUAAGUCGUAACAAGGUA